RNAcentral lists this transfer RNA (82 nucleotides) under Rhipicephalus sanguineus (brown dog tick). RNAcentral's name for it is "transfer RNA phenylalanine (anticodon AAA)". It matches the Rfam family "tRNA". From Rfam's summary of the family: Transfer RNA (tRNA) molecules are approximately 80 nucleotides in length. Their secondary structure includes four short double-helical elements and three loops (D, anti-codon, and T loops). Further hydrogen bonds mediate the characteristic L-shaped molecular structure. tRNAs have two regions of fundamental functional importance: the anti-codon, which is responsible for specific mRNA codon recognition, and the 3' end, to which the tRNAs corresponding amino acid is attached (by aminoacyl-tRNA synthetases). tRNAs cope with the degeneracy of the genetic code in two manners: having more than one tRNA (with a specific anti-codon) for a particular amino acid; and 'wobble' base-pairing, i.e. permitting non-standard base-pairing at the 3rd anti-codon position. Lineage: Eukaryota; Metazoa; Arthropoda; Arachnida; Ixodida; Ixodidae. The record is from Rfam by way of RNAcentral.
GGUAGCGUGGCCGAGUGGUCUAAGGCGCUAGUUUAAAGCACCAGUCUCUUCGGGGGCGUGGGUUCGAAUCCCGCCGCUGCCA